Molecule: ribosomal RNA, 1547 nt
Filed under: Eurycope producta complex sp. 8 AD-2018
Lineage: Eukaryota; Metazoa; Arthropoda; Malacostraca; Isopoda; Munnopsidae
Description: SSU rRNA
Rfam family: Eukaryotic small subunit ribosomal RNA
Source: RNAcentral
ACGAAAAAUAACGAUGCGAGACUCUUCCGAGGCCUCGCAAUCGGAAUGAGUUCAUUUUAAAACUUUGGACGAGGAUCCAUUGGAGGGCAAGUCUGGUGCCAGCAGCCGCGGUAAUUCCAGCUCCAAUAGCGUAUAUUAAAGUUGCUGCGGUUAAAAAGCUCGUAGUUGGAUCUCCUAGAUCCAUUUAGUGAUCGAGUCGCUCGUAGUAUUAACGUCCUUCGUCUGGUCGCCGAGACUAAUGGUGCGGGUUUCUCUCUUUCGCGCUGAUUCGUCGGUGUGUAUCGAGGUUGCCCUCUCCCGUUUCGGAGGACGGUCGGUCGUUGUCUUCGAGUAUCGCUCUUUCGCUUGUGGUACAAUUAAAAAAUUGUCGGCUCGCUCGGAGUGCUCUUUACCGAGUGUUCCAGGGUGGCCGACACGUUCACUUUGAAAAAAUUAGAGUGCUUAAAGCGGGCGCAUACGCUGCCUGAAUGUCUGUGCAUGGAAUGAAGUAACAGGACCUCGAUUCUGUUGUUUUUGUCGGUUUUAUUGAACCGAGGUAAUGAUUAAAAGGGACAGACGGUGGCAUUAGUAUUGCGGCGCUAGAGGUGAAAUUCUUGGACCGCUGCMAGACUAACUACUGCGAAAGCAUUUGCCGAGAAUGUUUUCAUUAAUCAAGAACGAAAGUUAGAGGAUCGAAGGCGAUCAGAUACCGCCCUAGUUCUAACCCUAAACUAUGCUAACUAGCGAUCCGCCGGAGUCAUUCCCACGACCCGGCGGGAAGCCCCAGGGAAACCAAAGUUUUUGAGUUCCGGGGGAAGUAUGGUUGCAAAGCUGAAACUUAAAGGAAUUGACGGAAGGGCACCACCAGGAGUGGAGCCUGCGGCUUAAUUUGACUCAACACGGGAAACCUCACCAGGCCCGGACAUCAUAAGGAUUGACAGGUUGAGAGCUCUUUCUCGAUUUGAUGGGUGGUGGUGCAUGGCCGUUCUUAGUUGGUGGAGUGAUCUGUCUGGUUGAUUCCGAUAACGAACGAGACUCUACCCUACUAACUAGUCGGCGGAUCGUAACCCUGAGAUUGUUAGUUCGUAUAGGUCGGUAUGUCCGAGUCGUGAGCGCGGUGGCUUUUGUUGCGUUAGUGUUAAGAGUACUUCAGACGUCCUUCGCGGGGCGCCUGGCCUUUUUCUCUAUCGUGUCGGGCCAUUUAGCGCGAGCGGCGAAGCUUCCGAUUGAUUACUGCUACUGCUGGGGGCGUCCGUCGCAAUGUAUCUUCUUAGAGGGAUCAGCGGCGUAUAGCCGCACGAGAAAGAGCAAUAACAGGUCUGUGAUGCCCUUAGAUGUUCUGGGCCGCACGCGCGCUACAAUGUAGAGAUCAGCGUGCUUUCCCCUUCCGAAAGGAACGGGUAACCCGUUGAAACCCCUACCCGAUUGGGAUUGGGGCUUGCAAAUAUUUCCCAUAAACGAGGAAUUCCCAGUAAGCGCGAGUCAUCAACUCGCGCUGAUUACGUCCCUGCCCUUUGUACACACCGCCCGUCGCUACUACCGAUGGAAUGAUUCAGUGAGGGCAUCGG